Molecule: transfer RNA, 76 nt
Filed under: Nitrospirota bacterium
Lineage: Bacteria; Pseudomonadati; Nitrospirota
Description: Nitrospirae bacterium (hydrothermal vent metagenome) tRNA-Val
Rfam family: tRNA
About the family: Transfer RNA (tRNA) molecules are approximately 80 nucleotides in length. Their secondary structure includes four short double-helical elements and three loops (D, anti-codon, and T loops).
Source: RNAcentral
GGGCGGAUAGCUCAGUUGGGAGAGCGCAGCCCUUACAAGGCUGAGGUCACAGGUUCGAGCCCUGUUCCGCCUACCA